Molecule: ribosomal RNA, 460 nt
Filed under: uncultured bacterium
Lineage: Bacteria
Description: partial 16S ribosomal RNA
Rfam family: Bacterial small subunit ribosomal RNA
Source: RNAcentral
CCUACGGGUGGCAGCAGUGAGGAAUAUUGGUCAAUGGACGAGAGUCUGAACCAGCCAAGUAGCGUGAAGGAUGACUGCCCUAUGGGUUGUAAACUUCUUUUAUAUGGGAAUAAAAUGUUCCACGUGUGGGAUUUUGUAUGUACCAUAUGAAUAAGGAUCGGCUAACUCCGUGCCAGCAGCCGCGGUAAUACGGAGGAUCCGAGCGUUAUCCGGAUUUAUUGGGUUUAAAGGGAGCGUAGGUGGAUUGUUAAGUCAGUUGUGAAAGUUUGCGGCUCAACCGUAAAAUUGCAGUUGAAACUGGCAGUCUUGAGUACAGUAGAGGUGGGCGGAAUUCGUGGUGUAGCGGUGAAAUGCUGAGAUAUCACGAGGAACUCCGAUUGCGAAGGCAGUUCACUGGACUGCAACUGACACUGAGGCUCGAAAGUGUGGGUAUCAAACAGGAUUAGAUACCCCAGUAGUC